UACACUCCUGCGGGAGGCAGCAGUGGGGAAUAUUGGACAAUGGGCGCAAGCCUGAUCCAGCCAUGCCGCGUGAGUGAUGAAGGCCCUAGGGUUGUAAAGCUCUUUCACCGGUGAAGAUAAUGACGGUAACCGGAGAAGAAGCCCCGGCUAACUUCGUGCCAGCAGCCGCGGUAAUACGAAGGGGGCUAGCGUUGUUCGGAUUUACUGGGCGUAAAGCGCACGUAGGCGGACUAUUAAGUCAGGGGUGAAAUCCCGGGGCUCAACCCCGGAACUGCCUUUGAUACUGGUAGUCUUGAGUUCGAGAGAGGUGAGUGGAAUUCCGAGUGUAGAGGUGAAAUUCGUAGAUAUUCGGAGGAACACCAGUGGCGAAGGCGGCUCACUGGCUCGAUACUGACGCUGAGGUGCGAAAGCGUGGGGAGCAAACAGGAGUAGAAACCCCGGUAGUCCCAUG
This 451-nucleotide ribosomal RNA is filed under the name uncultured organism. RNAcentral's name for it is "partial 16S ribosomal RNA". It matches the Rfam family "Bacterial small subunit ribosomal RNA", at positions 332 to 799 of the family's 1533-position model. The record is from RNAcentral.